AUUGAAAAAUAUUACACAGGAAUCACAAUGCAAUAUUGAAUCAGGGAUUUAAAAAAGGUUUUUAUUUUUUGGCUCUAUAAGAAAAUGGUGCGUCCGAGUAGACUCGAACUACCGACCCCUACCA
This 124-nucleotide antisense RNA is filed under the name Aliiglaciecola lipolytica E3. RNAcentral's name for it is "Bacterial antisense RNA HPnc0260". It matches the Rfam family "Bacterial antisense RNA HPnc0260". Lineage: Bacteria; Pseudomonadati; Pseudomonadota; Gammaproteobacteria; Alteromonadales; Alteromonadaceae. The record is from Rfam by way of RNAcentral.